Molecule: transfer RNA, 92 nt
Filed under: Uroplatus pietschmanni
Lineage: Eukaryota; Metazoa; Chordata; Lepidosauria; Squamata; Gekkonidae
Description: tRNA-Cys
Source: RNAcentral
UUCAAAAAAACGGGAGAAGUCCCCGGGAAUCUCUUAAUUCCUUGAUCGCGCUUGCACCGCAAUGCUUGGGGGACUGGUAUGGGGGGUCAAAC